RNAcentral lists this unclassified non-coding RNA (350 nucleotides) under fungal sp. Its description in RNAcentral is "partial internal transcribed spacer region". The stretch from base 1 to 46 matches the Rfam family "Eukaryotic small subunit ribosomal RNA", at positions 1786 to 1831 of the family's 1831-position model. Lineage: Eukaryota; Fungi. The record is from RNAcentral.
AAGUCGUAACAAGGUUUCCGUAGGUGAACCUGCGGAAGGAUCAUUAACAAUUGGACCGCAUUGUGUGGUCUCUACAUGUAUUUCGCCCUUGUGUGCACCAACUGAAUGUAGGCUUCUGGCAGCGCAGAGUCUGGAAAGGCCGCGGCGAAUAGGGUAUCCCUUAAAGUGGGUAUGCUGCGCGUCCUCCUAGGCCCUUUCCAGCGGGUUUUCCCGGCCUGCCAGGGUCUUUUUUCGAUAUCCAAAACCUUUACAACGCAUCUAAACUUUUAUUGCCUGAAAUUCGGUUUUUGAAAUAUAAAAACCUUAAAAAAACGGAAAAACAACUUUCAACAACGGAUCUCUUGGUUCUC